This 253-nucleotide ribosomal RNA is filed under the name uncultured bacterium. RNAcentral describes it as "partial 16S ribosomal RNA". It matches the Rfam family "Bacterial small subunit ribosomal RNA", at positions 524 to 776 of the family's 1533-position model. The record is from RNAcentral.
UACGUAGGGGGCAAGCGUUGUCCGGAAUCAUUGGGCGUAAAGAGCGCGUAGGCGGCCCGAUAAGUCCGCUGUGAAAGUCAAGGGCUCAACCCUUGAAUGCCGGUGGAUACUGUCGGGCUAGAGUCCGGAAGAGGCGAGUGGAAUUCCUGGUGUAGCGGUGAAAUGCGCAGAUAUCAGGAAGAACACCCGUGGCUAAGGCGGUUCUCUAGUACGGUACUGACGCUGAGACGCGAAAGCGUGGGGAGCGAACAGG